GGAGGGAUGGCAGAGCGGUUGAUUGCACCGGUCUUGAAAACCGGAGUCGGGCUUGUCCCGAUCGUGGGUUCGAAUCCCACUCCCUCCG
This 88-nucleotide transfer RNA is filed under the name Zavarzinella sp. RNAcentral describes it as "tRNA-Ser". It matches the Rfam family "tRNA". Rfam says of the family: Transfer RNA (tRNA) molecules are approximately 80 nucleotides in length. Their secondary structure includes four short double-helical elements and three loops (D, anti-codon, and T loops). Further hydrogen bonds mediate the characteristic L-shaped molecular structure. tRNAs have two regions of fundamental functional importance: the anti-codon, which is responsible for specific mRNA codon recognition, and the 3' end, to which the tRNAs corresponding amino acid is attached (by aminoacyl-tRNA synthetases). tRNAs cope with the degeneracy of the genetic code in two manners: having more than one tRNA (with a specific anti-codon) for a particular amino acid; and 'wobble' base-pairing, i.e. permitting non-standard base-pairing at the 3rd anti-codon position. Lineage: Bacteria; Pseudomonadati; Planctomycetota; Planctomycetia; Gemmatales; Gemmataceae. The record is from RNAcentral. RNAcentral also lists the same sequence under 2 other names.